GCAGGGCGGGGUGAUGCAUGCCUGUAGUCCCAGCUACUCGGGAGGCUGAGGCAAGAGGAUCCCUUGAUCCCAGGAGUUCUGGCUAUAGUCUUCUCUGCUGAUCAGGUGUCCACGCUAAGUUCACUAUCAAUAUUGCAACCUCCCGGGAGCAGGGGACCCCAGGUUGCCUAAGGAGGGGUGAACUAGCCCAGGAUGGAAACAGACCAGGUCAAAACUCCCUUGCUGAUCAGUAGUGGAUCCCUGUGAAGAGCCCCUACACUCCAGGCUGGACAACAUAGUGAGACCCUGUCUCU
This 293-nucleotide signal recognition particle RNA is filed under the name Microcebus murinus (gray mouse lemur). RNAcentral describes it as "Metazoan signal recognition particle RNA (ENSMICG00000033622.2)". It matches the Rfam family "Metazoan signal recognition particle RNA". Rfam says of the family: The signal recognition particle (SRP) is a universally conserved ribonucleoprotein. It is involved in the co-translational targeting of proteins to membranes. The eukaryotic SRP consists of a 300-nucleotide 7S RNA and six proteins: SRPs 72, 68, 54, 19, 14, and 9. The record is from RNAcentral. Lineage: Eukaryota; Metazoa; Chordata; Mammalia; Primates; Cheirogaleidae.